CAUUUUGGGGUUUUUAUUGAGCCAUUGGACUACAGUCCAAGAGUCCCCCUCCACCCAUAGAUCCAAAGUGUGAAGUUCAUGUAUAACAACCUUACAACCCAACUAGGCCGCCACUAUUUCAGCAUGAGAAAUCGGAGAGGGUGGCAAUUUCUUGCCCCCUGCUCUCACAAGUUUCCCAUAAUGAUCCUGGAUAAUGUAAGCUGCAGCAUACUCGUCAGACGAUAUAGAAGCAUCAAAAUUCAGCUUUAGGACACCCAUUAGAGGAGGAAGCCAACCCACCAACUUAAAAACAAAAGACUCCAGACGAGCUGUUCCAAUAGCUCCCCAGUUC
Molecule: long non-coding RNA, 331 nt
Filed under: Elaeis guineensis (African oil palm)
Lineage: Eukaryota; Viridiplantae; Streptophyta; Magnoliopsida; Arecales; Arecaceae
Description: long non-coding RNA (EGUI_LNC015009)
Source: RNAcentral